UCCCUUUUCGUAGUCUCUGACUCUCUGUUACUUCUCUGGUUCUACAUCUCAGAACCCUUAACACUCAUCUCUGGUUCUCCGGAAGCCUUUCUUUCAGAAUACUUUUCAUCGAGUUGUUCUGCAUAAUGUCAAGCCUAUGAAUGUGACGCGUGUACUACGUCUUCGAUUUCCUUUCCAUCGUCAUGUUUCUUUUGGUCAUAGUCUGCGCCGUGGUAUCUCUGGUGAUGACGUACAUGCACCUAUGUGUGGAGAGAGCUUCAAUCUAUCCGGAAUGGGUUGCUCCAAGUCCAUCCCAAAUGCAACGCUCUCGUCGUAUCGACCAAGAUCAUAACCCCGAAUUGGUACGCCGAGAAUAAACACGCGCACGAUGUUGAUCUCGUCGUAUAUUACAGAUUAAUGCACUUGAUCCGAACACUUAGGACGACAGAGCCUGCCGUCUGCCGAUGCAUGAACAACUUAAAUCCGACAAUCCUCCCAUGGUUGGAAUAGCUCAAAUUCAUCAUACCCUUCAUCAUCCGCAACGUAACGAAACAAAGAUCGAUUAUAAAACUGUAAAUCCCAUACUUCAAGAAAGCAUUCGACCACUACUGCAUCCAAGCCGGCUGGAGAGCAGCAAUCGGAGAGCAGAGAUGAUGGUCCGUAAUAUACUACUAUAAAGAUGAAGAUCGGACGGUGGAAACACGGGGUCCGUAUUGGACCGUAUGGGAAUAGUCCGAAGCCCACUCGAAAAAAUAUAUAGUCCAAUGGAUUUCCCCCUCUCUUCCUUCUAUCUUUUCAAACAUAUCAUCCUAUCAGUUAGACCUGUCAAUGGAUAUUCGAAAUUCGUAUUCGAAUUCGUUUAUGCUUAAUCGAAUUCGGAUGAGAAUUCAGAUAUUUAAAAUACUAUCGAUGCUAAAUAAAUUUGAAUUCGAAUACUCCUAAACGAAUUCGGAUAAAUAUAUAAAUAUAGAGUGAGCUUCAUGUGCACCGUACUUCAAUGCGCCAAAUUAAUCCUGUCUGUUAGAUCGAUUUUUCGUCGUACAUGAGUUAAUAUCUUUUGUUGUAUAUUAUUUUGCGUCGUAUAUGUGUUAGUGUCUUUUGCAAUAUACUAUUUUAGCUAUUAGAUUAAAUAUUAAUUGACAGGAUUUGAUGACACACGACGAUGCAUUGAAAUAUGAGAUACCUGAAUAUUUUCCUAUAAAUAUAUAAUAAUUUUAUAUUUUUUUACCUUUUAUAAUAUAAUGUAAUAUAUAUUGUUUUGGAUUUAUAUAUUAAAAUGUUAUGUUUAAAAUAUUAUAAGGGUUUUUAUUAAAAAGACAAGUAAAAUAUUAUUCUUUUAUUUUUUUUGUAAAUGUUAUUCGAACCGAAUUCCGGAUAUCUGUAUUCGGAUAUUUUAAUCGAAUUCGGAUAUGGAAUUUGAAAUUCGAAUAAUAAUUGAACGAAUUCGAAAUAUCCGAAUACUAAACGAAUUCCAAUUGAAAUUCGAAAUAUAAAAGGUCAUAGUUAUAAAAUUCCUCUUCCUCGGUAAUCAGUAUUAGUACAUAAAAUAUUGAAAUUAACUCGAUUAACUCAAUUGAUAAUUGUCAUUAAGUUGCUCAAUACACUCCAAGAAUCUUAUGCAAUUUAAUUUUUAUAUAUAAAAAAAAAAUUACCGUCUUUAGUUGAUAAAUACCUCUCAUACAGUCAUACUCCCUCGCCGCAAAAGUAAACUCCUCUCCUAGCCCUUACUUACUACCCAAUCA
This 1721-nucleotide long non-coding RNA is filed under the name Zostera marina. RNAcentral describes it as "long non-coding RNA (ZMAR_LNC002953)". Lineage: Eukaryota; Viridiplantae; Streptophyta; Magnoliopsida; Alismatales; Zosteraceae. The record is from RNAcentral.